Molecule: long non-coding RNA, 242 nt
Filed under: Solanum tuberosum (potato)
Lineage: Eukaryota; Viridiplantae; Streptophyta; Magnoliopsida; Solanales; Solanaceae
Description: long non-coding RNA (STUB_LNC002645)
Source: RNAcentral
UGAGAUUUUACUUGGAAGUAUGCGUGUGAAAUCCUAGAAUUUACCUUUUUAGUCCAAUUGUCUAGCCUUGGUAAGUGUAAGGAAUGAUCUUGGGCAUAAAUUUUGAGAGGGAACCCAAAUUUCCAUAUCCUCUUGUCACUACCUUGUGACGGUGUGCAUCCAUUUUGGCACCAUUUGAGCCUAAAACAUUUGUUGUAAACCAUAUCGAAACCACAUGAACCAAAUUUCCCCUAACUUCUCAC